Long non-coding RNA from Schistocerca gregaria, 4347 nucleotides. RefSeq lists it as uncharacterized. The record is from RefSeq and is a predicted model, not a curated record. Lineage: Eukaryota; Metazoa; Arthropoda; Insecta; Orthoptera; Acrididae. The transcript has 4 exons.
AGAACCAGCACAUUCGAUCAAAACCAGCGUGAAUCUUGUCGCUCGUGUGGCCAACAGCAGAAUUAUACGUCUUCUUCAUGUCUUAAGUGCUGGAAGGUGAGAGAGAGAUGGAAUCUGUGACCAAGAAAAUUAAAGCUUCUUUAUACAUUGAAGAUAGCUCCCCUAAGGUUCUCGUCAAUACGGUACCAGAACGUUUAAGUUCUACCACUGUAAAGAUGGAAGAUCCGCGAUUCGGAAUGUCAGAACUGUGUGGUUUAACAGACAGCCAGGCAGCAGAUGCGCUCGAAGCUUUUGUAUAAUCAUCCUGCGGUGAGGGUGAAUCCACCACAUCAUGUACACUAGAAGGUGCCUGGUUAGCAGAGCCCAUGGACAGAACAAGUGACACCUGAGGUGUCCCAUACAACACGCCAGAUUCUCCACUACCACUGUACCCUGAGACAGCAGUCUGAAGGUGACCCAUUGCAGCCAGAAGCGCCUCAAGCUGUUCGCGGACCACAGCCAACUUCUCGUGCAUCCACAUACAGGAUUCACACACCCUAAUCAUCCUAGUAAGACUAACUGAGAAGCAAACUAUACAGCAGAUAGAAUCCCAGAUAUACAACUUGUUACCCUCCUGAUGUGUCACAAAUGGGUAUUGAUGCAUUAAUUAGCUAGCUGUUCAGCGAGCAAUUCUGUGCUACAGGCUAAAGGAUUUUUUUUCCUACAAAAAUGUGAAAUUAAACCUUUUAAAUAGAGCAGCAUAUGCUAAAUUUAGUAAAUGUACUACAAGGAAAAGAAGGAAAUUUAUGAAGACUUAACUUAUUGCUCUUUAAGAUGACUGGUAUGUUGUAUUUAUAAUAAAUGAAAAAGGAAAUGACAUGACAACUGGCUUUUAUUCAUCUUAUAUUUAAAUUAAGAUUUUAAUUGUUAAAAAUCAGAUAGUGUUGAAACUAGUGAGGGCAAAAAUAAGAAUGAAACCUUCACUUUCAAGGAAAUGUCAGUGUUCUGCCACAGCAACAGUUGUGACCUUCAUAGCACCCAACAGACCUGGUGGGCAGAGAUUGGUAUGCAACCAGUCCAAAAAUUAUUGGCGUCAGUAGCUUCCAGUGCAUUAAAAUGCCCUGGGAAAAAUAAAACUUCAAAUCAGUUACUAAAUCAGUUUGUGAAUUCCACAUCAUGUCACACAUAAAUACAUCCAUCCUGAGGAAUAUUUUUAUUGCCGUGAUGCUUGUAGAUGACUAUUUUCAUUCUUUGUUUUAUGGUAGAAGAAAAUGAACCUUUCUGUUAAGCCACUGAUUUUAAUUGAAAUUAGUCUUAUGUUAACUCCUAAUUCAGGUCAGUUGGUAUCUCACUUUUUGUUUGCUAUAGGUUACAGUAUGGACCCGUGUGAAUUGGUAAUACAUUGGCAGCACUGUGUCUUCUUACCUUUUAUGCUGUGUGACAGGCUUUACAGUGCAUCAUAACGAAAAGGCAAGAUACUGACCAUGCCCAACCCAUUUACAACUGCUGCCUGCUCCACUCAUACCAUCAUACCAACAUGCAUCUCACACUGUUAUUGUAUUAUUAUUUAUUUCUAUUCCUGUCUUCAUUUUAAUCUCAUCCAGUUUUCUUAUUGGUCUUAUUUACAUCUUGAUGUCUUACUACUGUGCUUCAUGUAGCUUUAUCCUUCCUUUGCUAUACUUAAUCUGGUUUUGUCUUUUUCCAGUUUUCAGAAUAUUCCCAUAUGUUUUAAUGCUCUGUUACUAUUUUUUAUUUCUUGACAAUCCAUUUUUGUUUCUUCCAUCUGUGUAAAUACAGAAAAGUUUCCCUACCCCUAUACCGAACCCACUCCCACAUAACUGUUUCUGUGUUGCUGCUUAGUUUGUGGAAUUGCUCCCAAAUAGCUUUCCACAGUGAUUCUAUGUUAUAAUUCAUUCCACAGCCCUCACCAACUCAGCCCUACACAAUAUGUAACUGAGUCCUAAACAUUUUCUCACUACCUCAUCACUGCCUGUAAAAUAUUUCCACUCUGAUGUACCAAUUACCGCAUCACAAUGCCAAAUUUGAAACACACGUACUGCAGGAACAAGAGCAGCAUGCCCAGUGCCACCUUAAAAACUGUAAAGUCUAUUCACUUUGUACACUUAUAUUGGACUACCACAAUCCAGCACCACUACAAAAACCUCUGUCAAACCUCCUUUACAUCAGUUAAUAGAUGCCUGAUCCCAUCUUGCACAACUACAUAUGCUACAAUCUCACAAGCUCCCGCCCACCAUCCUACCGAACCCAGCACCUAAACAGUCCUGUAACAUAGUAGUGAACCUCUCCUCCAAAAGCCUCAUUUCAAAGGGCCUUAUCUUUUGCCACAUUCACAAAUUCAGUCAUUCUGAGCUUCUUAAAGACCUACUCUCCUCCCUAAAGUGGAAACACUUUUUUGGUACCAACUCAAAACUAGUACUGAACCCAGCCUUACUUGGUAUACUCUUCCAUCUACCUGUGAUCCUACAAUACAUCUCUCCCCUCCACCUUCACUCCCCCCAUCCCAUUUCCUGGAUCAUCCUGUAACCUCAAUUUUUGUCUCAUCAUCAUUCCUCCGAACUCCCAUACACAGAGAGAAGCACCGUCUGGUGCUUAAAAACUGAUUUCCACCUUAAAAUCACUUCUAACAGAAUAUAUUUCUGAAUAAAUAAAGAAUAUUGUUUGUGACUGCAGCGCACUUUCUGCUCCACCUGUAUAGUCUUUGUUAGGGUGUGGAGUACAUGGACAAUUUAAAAAUUGGCUCAUUCCAUUUCAAGUGUAAUGGAAGUCUCUGCUUUACCAUUUGUGAAUGUAAUGAAAUUUUAUCGGAAGGUUCCACAAUGUCUUCAAUGGAUAUGUACUAAUAUUCAGCUCCAUAUCUCCUUUGGUUCAUUUCUACAGCCUCUCAUGAAUAGGGUUCCCGAGUUUGCACCACAUACACACGUGCCAAAGUGUGAACUUUGGAUAACUUUUGUGAAAGGUACUUUCAGUUUACAAGCCCUUGCUUUUGUACACUUAAACAACUUUUUGUGCUGAAUUAGAAGACAUUAUCUUUGACAUUUUUAAAUGCAAACUGCAAGAGCCGUAAGACUACAAAAAUGACUGAAAAUUCAUUGUGUGAUUUUGAGAGCCCAUCUUUAACCAGUCACAAUUCACAAUUUAAUCAACAGAUUUGGCCGACAACUGUGUUGUCUUCUUGUGCUUUUUGUUUGGUAGCCUUGGGCCUUUUCUGUCAAAUUAUAUGCUCCUACCAAUUUGGUGUAAAUGUUUUGGGUGCCAAAUUUGUGUAGUUUUUGGAGUCUGUAUCUCAACUGUAUGUUCUUUAAUCUUUAUAAUCUUUCUGUAUCUAAAAAGAGAAGCCUUUCAACUUCAGAGGCACUUAGCUUAAUUUUUGACUCUUGCCUGCCUAUGACUGGAAAAAAAUUGCUCACAGUUAUUACUUUUCAUACAUAUUUUUAUGCUCAUACGUGAUAUUAAUGAAUAAACAAAAAGAAAAAUCAGUGAAACCUUUUUUCUGUCCAUAAAACUAGAAGUGUAGUUAUGUAUGAAUCAACUUUAAGCAAUAAGCAGCAAUAAAACAAAUGAAAAUUCAGAAUAUUAGAAUUCUAAACACAGGUGGAAUAAUUCUUUUUCACAUCAGAAUGAAUAAAUUGCUAUUACUGUCUUGUUCAUAUUCUGAGUAAAUGUAUUGGAUUCCUAAUGUUUUGGUGUUUUUAUGACUUUUAGACAUGUUUUGGAAUUGGUCUUCUCAAAAUUUUGUGAACUCAAGCCAAAGUAGUGCAGCUGGUACCAGACUUGUUGUAAUUAAUCUUACCCUAAAAAAUUGCGUUUUUAAACCCUUUGUAAAAAAAUCAAUAAAACCCAACUAUAUCUAAUAUGAAAAUUCAAUUGACAUACAAAAUGUUACAUAGUUAGCCUUAUAUGAACUAAAGAGAGCCAUAAUAUUUACUGAAGGCAAAUCUGUAGUGUCACAAGAAUUUAUUUUAUUAAUAUUGUGUUUUAACUUUUCUUGCAAUUUAAGAAAUGCAACUAAAAUAACAAUUACACUCCCAGCAAAAAGAAACUAACUUGAUGUAGAAUUGUCAUGAGAGUAAAGUACAAUUAACUACUUUUUGGAAGCUUGCAGAAAUUUGUAGAUCUUCACUAAUUUCUCAGUUCUUUUGUCUUCUAAAUGUUUUAUUAAUUUUGCCCAAAUGAACUGGCAGAUGGACAAGAUUCUUUCAGGUGCAUUGCUGGCAGGGCAUGAAAAGAGGCACUAAUAAAGUAGUUGUAAGAAUGGAUUAUUGUUUUGAAUAUAGUACAGUAAUAGGAAUUUAUAAUGAAUUGUUUAAUCAUCAAUCUGAAAAGAAAGCAAUAAAAUCCAAAAUCAGC